UCCAUUUUUAGAGUUUCUUCGCAACCCUUUCAUAUAUUUUCAUGCCCCACUUUUGGGUUACGACACACAGGUUGAGAAACAUUAGACUAGAUGGCCUCCUGAGGCCCCUUCCAACCCUCAUUGUCUCUGAUUCCUUACCUGCUGAGACCCAGAGGUUUCAAAGCCAAAAGGGACCACUGGAUUCUCCAAUAUAGCCUGCUGUAUAACAUGGGCCAGGGAAUUUCAUUCAGUUACUUCUGUAUUGAGCCCCAUAACUUAUGUUGAUAAUAGUAUUUCUUUCUGAAAGGCAUCCAGUGUUGAUCUGAGGAUUUCAACAGCAGAACAGUUCACUGUGAACUGGUAUGAUGGACCUGAGUGAAAUGUUUGUCUUCAGUAGUGCUCAUUCACAUCUGUUUCUGAGCCUGGAGUCAGUAGAGGGGUGGUGAACUCUCUGGGGGGCUGCAUCCUGCUGUAAAGUUUCUGUUUUCCACCAGACCUGAAUAACAGCAAGGUUCUGCUAUAGAAGGAUGGCCCAUUUAUCAUGUUACCCAUUCCUUUGUAACUUUUGCAUUGUAGUAGUACCUCUGGGGUGCAUACUGACAUGAUGAAUCCUCAUGUUCAAGGUGUACAACUAAGUGUUACUAAGUAUGAAACAUAAAACGAUAGAGUCAGAGUUGGAAGGGACCUCAAAGGUUACUUAGCCAACCCCCCAGCGCAAAUACAGGAUGUGCUAGUCUGUUUCAAAACCUUUUCUGGAGGAGGUUCCUUAGCUUCCCUAAGUUGCCUUUAUUACUGUACUUAGAUAGGAAGUUCUUCCCGAGAUUUAAUCUGAAUCUGCUCUGCUGUCAUGUAAACCCGUUGCCUUGUGGCCUGCCCUCUCUGGCAAGGCAGAACAAUAUUUCUCCAACAGUUUUUGGCAGCCUUUCAAAUAUUUGAAGACUGCUAUCUAAUAUUUGAAGCCGUGCAAAUAUUUGAAGACCCAUAAUCUCCUUUUCUCCUGACUAACCAUAUCUAGAUCUCUCCAUCAUUCCUUAUACGGCUUGCCUUCUAAAACCUUUGUUAUCUUUGUUGCUUAUCUCUGGAUGCUUCAUGGUCUCUAUAUCCUUCUUAAACUGUGGUGCUUAGAAUUUGACACAAUACUCUGGCUGAGGCCCAACUAGCACCAAGUAGAGUAGUAUUAUUACCUCCCAUGUUUUGCAUAUAAUACUUUUGCUUUGUUAUUUUUUUGUAACAGCAUCACAUGGCCAACUCAUGUUCAUCUUGUGAUUGACCAUAACUGCAGCUCUUUUGUGGGUAUGCCACUGCCUAGCUAGUUAUCCCCAAUUUUGUACAUUUGCAUUUGACUUUCUUUCUCUUGUGUGUCACACCUUACACUUGCCUUUGUUGAAUUUCAUCUAGUAAUUGAUAGCCCAGUUCUCCAUUUUGGCAAGAUUCCUUUGAACUUUAAAUCUGUUCUCCAAAGUGUUGGCAACCUCCCACCCAGUUUUGUAUCAGUCUGUACCAAAGUCAUUAAUAAAGAUGUUAAACAUCACUGGGCCCCGAAAACAAAUCCCUGUGGAAUUCCACUUUGAGACUUCCUGCCUUUACAACACGGAUCCAUUCACAGUUUCUCUUUGCUCAUGGUUAUUCAACCCUGAACAUAUCUACUUCACAAUAAUUUUUUCAAGCCCACAUUUCUACAAUUUACUCAUAAGGAUCUGGAUCCUUCUUCUGGAUCUUGAUUCACAUAUUCACACUCUCUUUUUGUGUGAUACUGUACCAAAAGACAAAAGUCUGUAUAUUAUGACCACUGCAUUCCUCUCUGCAUCUGUCAAGAUGUUGGAUGGUCAUUCAUUCAUGCAUUCCCCUCACCCACUUAACUAGUUAUUCUGUCAAAGAACAAAAUCAAGUUGGUUGGGUAUGAUUUAUCCAUAAUAAAUUCAUGCAGGCUCCUAGUGAUCAUCCCUUUGUCUUUCAGGUCUUCACGAAUAGACUGUGUUAUAAUUUGCUCUUGGAAGAUGGGCUGACUGGUUUAUAAAUGCAUUGUUUUCUUUGUGGCCCUUUUUAAAGAUGAGCACUAGGUUAGCCUUUCUUCAGUCCUCUGGGAUUUCACCUGCCAUCCAUGACUUUGUAAAUAUUAUUACCAAUAGCUCUGGGAUUUUUACAGCCAGUUUCUGAAGCAUCCUGGGAUAAAUGUCACCAGGGCUUGCUAAUUUAAAUGGAUUCAAACUUGUCAAAAGUUCUUUAUUUAUUAUGAUUUGAAGCCCUUUCCCUUCGUUGUUUAAAUUCAUUUUGUUAGUUGUCUGAUUGGAGGGGGGAGGAUGCUUUGUUUUCUUUUUUAAAAGUAGUCAGGUGCCAGCUCUGCUUUCUUUGUAUCUUCCAUUAAUAGCAUACCCACACCAUUGAACAUUGGAUCUACAGUUUCCCUAGUCUUUCUUUUCUGUCUGACCUUCCUUGCCAGUUGCAUCUCAUUUUUCACCUUUGCUUUCCUGAUUUUGUCCUUAUAUAUUUUGCUAUAUCCCUUGGUAUACUUCCUUAGUGACUCACCCUGGGCCUUUUUCUCCUUUCACCUAUUAGGAUAAAACUGGUUAAGACAAUCCCUUAGGAACUGCCAUUCCUGAUCUGGCCCAGGGUCCAUGUGACAGGGACAAGCUAUUUCAGAGAAAGUCUUAUUAACUACAUGAUUGCAUAUUUCAUACAAUAACAGCAUGGAAGUGAGCAUUCUGGAGGAAGGACUGCAUUUGGCUUUGAGAGAAGAGUUGAAGUGUUGUAUUUUUCUCUAGAGAUCUGGUUGUAAUAGUCCAGGAUAUAGUCUGGGUUCAUCAGAUUUUGUGUGUCAAUGCUAAAGUGGAUUAGGGUGGUAACUGCUCCACAUGUCACAUACCAUUUGCUAUGUUCAUAGAUAACACACUCCCACUCCCUCCUACAUGGUAUACAUGAUAGAGUGUCAGUACAAAGAGGACAGGAAGGGCAUGGCUGUGUAUUUUCACAUUACUUCUAUUCCUUUUUCACAGAUGGAUGAAAGAACCCUGGAUCUAUGCAGCAGCAGCCUUUUGGCUUAUUUUUCCUUUUUUGGUUGACAUUUUACUGAGCAUUUUAUUAUUUUAGAUAAAAAUCAUCUUUAAUUU
Gavialis gangeticus (Gharial) is the source of this 3086-nucleotide long non-coding RNA. RefSeq lists it as uncharacterized. The record is from RefSeq and is a predicted model, not a curated record. The transcript has 2 exons. Lineage: Eukaryota; Metazoa; Chordata; Crocodylia; Gavialidae.